CCUACGUGCGGCAGCAGUAGGGAAUCUUCCACAAUGGGCGAAAGCCUGAUGGAGCAACGCCGCGUGGGUGAAGAAGGUCUUCGGAUCGUAAAACCCUGUUGUUAGAGAAGAAAGUGCGUGAGAGUAACUGUUCACGUUUCGACGGUAUCUAACCAGAAAGCCACGGCUAACUACGUGCCAGCAGCCGCGGUAAUACGUAGGUGGCAAGCGUUAUCCGGAUUUAUUGGGCGUAAAGGGAACGCAGGCGGUCUUUUAAGUCUGAUGUGAAAGCCUUCGGCUUAACCGGAGUAGUGCAUUGGAAACUGGGGGACUUGAGGGCAGAAGAGGAGAGUGGAACUCCAUGUGUAGCGGUGAAAUGCGUAGAUAUAUGGAAGAACACCAGUGGCGAAAGCGGCUCUCUGGUCUGUAACUGACGCUGAGGUUCGAAAGCGUGGGUAGCAAACAGGAUUAGAUACCCCUGUAGUC
RNAcentral lists this ribosomal RNA (465 nucleotides) under uncultured bacterium. RNAcentral's name for it is "partial 16S ribosomal RNA". It matches the Rfam family "Bacterial small subunit ribosomal RNA", at positions 338 to 795 of the family's 1533-position model. The record is from RNAcentral.